Molecule: unclassified non-coding RNA, 344 nt
Filed under: soil metagenome
Description: partial contains 5.8S ribosomal RNA, internal transcribed spacer 2, and large subunit ribosomal RNA
Rfam family: 5.8S ribosomal RNA (bases 1-119)
Source: RNAcentral
GAUGAAGAACGCAGCGAAAUGCGAUACGUAAUGUGAAUUGCAAAUUCAGUGAAUCAUCGAGUCUUUGAACGCACAUUGCGCCCCCUGGUAUUCCGGGGGGCAUGCCUGUCCGAGCGUCAUUGCUGCCCUCAAGCACGGCUUGUGUGUUGGGCCCCGUCCUCCGAUUCCGGGGGACGGGCCCGAAAGGCAGCGGCGGCACCGCGUCCGGUCCUCGAGCGUAUGGGGCUUUGUCACCCGCUCUGUAGGCCCGGCCGGCGCUUGCCGAUCAACCCAAAUUUUUAUCCAGGUUGACCUCGGAUCAGGUAGGGAUACCCGCUGAACUUAAGCAUAUCAAUAAGGGAGGA